RNAcentral lists this ribosomal RNA (492 nucleotides) under uncultured bacterium. RNAcentral's name for it is "partial 16S ribosomal RNA". It matches the Rfam family "Bacterial small subunit ribosomal RNA", at positions 29 to 507 of the family's 1533-position model. The record is from RNAcentral.
AGUGAACGCUGGCGGUAGGCCUAGCACAUGCCAGUCGAACGGCAGCACAGUAAGAGCUUGCUCUUACGGGUGGCGAGUGGCGGACGGGUGAGGAAUACAUCGGAAUCUACUUUUUCGUGGGGGAUAACGUAGGGAAACUUACGCUAAUACCGCAUACGACCUACGGGUGAAAGCAGGGGAUCUUCGGACCUUGCGCGACUGAAUGAGCCGAUGUCGGAUUAGCUAGUUGGCGGGGUAAAGGCCCACCAAGGCGACGAUCCGUAGCUGGUCUGAGAGGAUGAUCAGCCACACUGGAACUGAGACACGGUCCAGACUCCUACGGGAGGCAGCAGUGGGGAAUAUUGGACAAUGGGCGCAAGCCUGAUCCAGCCAUACCGCGUGGGUGAAGAAGGCCUUCGGGUUGUAAAGCCCUUUUGUUGGGAAAGAAAAGCAGCAGGUUAAUACCCCGCUGUUCUGACGGUACCCAAAGAAUAAGCACCGGCUAACUUCGUG